CCUACGGGUGGCAGCAGUGAGGAAUAUUGGUCAAUGGACGCGAGUCUGAACCAGCCAAGCCGCGUGAGGGAAGAAGGUUCAGAGUAUCGUAAACCGCUUUUGUACGGGGGCAAACGCUGGUGCGCGUCCCCGUCUGAGUGUACCUUACGAAAAAGCAUCGGCUAACUCCGUGCCAGCAGCCGCGGUAAUACGGAGGAUGCGAGCGUUAUCCGGAUUUAUUGGGUUUAAGGGGUGCGAAGGCGGUCUGUUAAGUCAGCGGUCAAACCCCAGGGCUCAACUCCGGCCUGCCGUUGAAACUGGUAGGCUCGAGAGUGAGUGCGGUAGGCGGAAUGUGUGGUGUAGCGGUGAAAUGCAUAGAGAUCGCGCAGAACACCGAUUGCGAAGGCAGCAUGCCGGGUCACUACUGACGUUGAGGCACGAAAGCGUGGGUAGCGAACAGGAUUAGAUACCCCUGUAGUC
This 459-nucleotide ribosomal RNA is filed under the name uncultured bacterium. RNAcentral's name for it is "partial 16S ribosomal RNA". It matches the Rfam family "Bacterial small subunit ribosomal RNA", at positions 338 to 795 of the family's 1533-position model. The record is from RNAcentral.